Non-coding RNA from Phrynosoma platyrhinos (Desert horned lizard), 72 nucleotides. The record is from the annotation of a GenBank genome assembly. Lineage: Eukaryota; Metazoa; Chordata; Lepidosauria; Squamata; Phrynosomatidae.
ACCAGCGUAGCGUAGUGGUUUUGAGCGUUGGACGAUGACUUUGGAGUCCAGGGUUCAAUUCCCCGCUUGGCC